CAAUCCUGGUGGCGAGUGGCGAACGGGUGAGUAAUACAUCGGAACGUGUCCUGUAGUGGGGGAUAGCCCGGCGAAAGCCGGAUUAAUACCGCAUACGAUCUGUGGAUGAAAGCGGGGGAUCUUCGGACCUCGCGCUGCACGGGCGGCCGAUGGCAGAUUAGCUAGUUGGUGGGGUAAAGGCCUACCAAGGCGACGAUCUGUAGCUGGUCUGAGAGGACGACCAGCCACACUGGGACUGAGACACGGCCCAUACUCCUACGGGAGGCAUCAGUGGGGAAUUUUGGACAAUGGGCGAAAGCCUGAUCCAGCAAUGCCGCGUGUGUGAAGAAGGCCUUCGGGUUGUAAAGCACUUUUGUCCGGAAAGAAAACCUCGUGGUUAAUACCCGUGGGGGAUGACGGUACCGGAAGAAUAAGCACCGGCUAACUACGUGCCAGCAGCCGCGGUAAUACGUAGGGUGCAAGCGUUAAUCGGAAUUACUGGGCGUAAAGCGUGCGCAGGCGGUUCGCUAACACAGAUGUGAAAUCCCCGGGCUUAACCUGGGAACUGCAUUUGUGACUGGCGGGCUAGAGUAUGGCAGAGGGGGGUAGAAUUCCGUGUGUAGCAGUGAAAUGCGUAGAGAUGUGGAGGAAUACCGAUGGCUAAAGCAGCCCCCUGGGCCAAUACUGACACUCAUGCACCAGAGCGUGUGGAGCAAACAGGAUUAGAUACCCUGGUAGUCCACGCCCU
Molecule: ribosomal RNA, 727 nt
Filed under: Paraburkholderia phytofirmans
Lineage: Bacteria; Pseudomonadati; Pseudomonadota; Betaproteobacteria; Burkholderiales; Burkholderiaceae
Description: bacterial SSU rRNA
Rfam family: Bacterial small subunit ribosomal RNA
Source: RNAcentral